GUCCACGCUGUAAACGAUGAUCACUAGAUGUGGGUUUUGCUAUAUGCGAGAUCUGUGUCGAAGCUAACGCGUUAAGUGAUCCGCCUGGGAAUUACGGUAGCAAGAUUAAAACUCAAAGGAAUUGACGGGGGUCCGCACAAGCGGUGGAACAUGUGGUUUAAUUCGACACUACGCGAGGAACCUUACCUGGGUUUGACAUGUAACUGCUACUGGUGGAAACAUUGGGUUCUAUAGCAAUAUAGACGGUUACACAGGUGCUGCAUGGCUGUCGU
RNAcentral lists this ribosomal RNA (272 nucleotides) under uncultured bacterium. Its description in RNAcentral is "partial 16S ribosomal RNA". It matches the Rfam family "Bacterial small subunit ribosomal RNA", at positions 793 to 1055 of the family's 1533-position model. The record is from RNAcentral.